Molecule: unclassified non-coding RNA, 259 nt
Filed under: uncultured fungus
Lineage: Eukaryota; Fungi
Description: sequence contains ITS2
Source: RNAcentral
AACGCACAUUGCGCCCGCUAGCACUCUAGCGAGCAUGCCUGUUCGAGCGUCAUUUCAACCCUCAAGCCUUAGCUGCUUGGUGUUGGGGCCCUGCAGCGUAACAGUUGCGCGCCCUAAAAAUCAGUGGCGGGCCCGCCGGAAUCCCGAGCGUAGUAGUUUUUCUUCUCGUUCAGGGCGUCUCGGCGGGUUUUCCAGCCGUAAAACUCUUUUAACUCUCAAGGUUGACCUCGGAUCAGGUAGGAAUACCCGCUGAACUUAA